Molecule: ribosomal RNA, 586 nt
Filed under: uncultured bacterium
Lineage: Bacteria
Description: partial 16S ribosomal RNA
Rfam family: Bacterial small subunit ribosomal RNA
Source: RNAcentral
UGGGGAAUUUUGGGCAAUGGGCGAAAGCCUGAUCCAGCAAUGCCGCGUGUGUGAAGAAGGCCUUCGGGUUGUAAAGCACUUUUGUCCGGAAAGAAAUCCUUGGCUCUAAUACAGUCGGGGGAUGACGGUACCGGAAGAAUAAGCACCGGCUAACUACGUGCCAGCAGCCGCGGUAAUACGUAGGGUGCAAGCGUUAAUCGGAAUUACUGGGCGUAAAGCGUGCGCAGGCGGUUUGCUAAGACCGAUGUGAAAUCCCCGGGCUCAACCUGGGAACUGCAUUGGUGACUGGCAGGCUAGAGUAUGGCAGAGGGGGGUAGAAUUCCACGUGUAGCAGUGAAAUGCGUAGAGAUGUGGAGGAAUACCGAUGGCGAAGGCAGCCCCCUGGGCCAAUACUGACGCUCAUGCACGAAAGCGUGGGGAGCAAACAGGAUUAGAUACCCUGGUGGUCCACGCCCUAAACGAUGUCAACUAGUUGUUGGGGAUUCAUUUCCUUAGUAACGUAGCUAACGCGUGAAGUUGACCGCCUGGGGGAGUACGGUCGCAAGAUUAAAACUUAAAUGAAUUGACGGGGUCAUAGCUGUUUCCU